AUCUACAGGCUUAACACAUGCAAGUCGAGGGGCAGCAUGGUCUUAGCUUGCUAAGGCCGAUGGCGACCGGCGCACGGGUGAGUAACACGUAUCCAACCUGCCGUCUACUCUUGGACAGCCUUCUGAAAGGAAGAUUAAUACAAGAUGGCAUCAUGAGUCCGCAUGUUCACAUGAUUAAAGGUAUUCCGGUAGACGAUGGGGAUGCGUUCCAUUAGAUAGUAGGCGGGGUAACGGCCCACCUAGUCUUCGAUGGAUAGGGGUUCUGAGAGGAAGGUCCCCCACAUUGGAACUGAGACACGGUCCAAACUCCUACGGGAGGCAGCAGUGAGGAAUAUUGGUCAAUGGGCGAGAGCCUGAACCAGCCAAGUAGCGUGAAGGAUGACUGCCCUAUGGGUUGUAAACUUCUUUUAUAAAGGAAUAAAGUCGGGUAUGCAUACCCGUUUGCAUGUACUUUAUGAAUAAGGAUCGGCUAACUCCGUGCCAGCAGCCGCGGUAAUACGGAGGAUCCGAGCGUUAUCCGGAUUUAUUGGGUUUAAAGGGAGCGUAGAUGGAUGUUUAAGUCAGUUGUGAAAGUUUGCGGCUCAACCGUAAAAUUGCAGUUGAUACUGGAUAUCUUGAGUGCAGUUGAGGCAGGCGGAAUUCGUGGUGUAGCGGUGAAAUGCUUAGAUAUCACGAAGAACUCCGAUUGCGAAGGCAGCCUGCUAAGCUGCAACUGACAUUGAGGCUCGAAAGUGUGGGUAUCAAACAGGAUUAGAUACCCUGGUAGUCCACACGGUAAACGAUGAAUACUCGCUGUUUGCGAUAUACAGCAAGCGGCCAAGCGAAAGCGUUAAGUAUUCCACCUGGGGAGUACGCCGGCAACGGUGAAACUCAAAGGAAUUGACGGGGGCCCGCACAAGCGGAGGAACAUGUGGUUUAAUUCGAUGAUACGCGAGGAACCUUACCCGGGCUUAAAUUGCAGAUGAAUUACGGUGAAAGCCGUAAGCCGCAAGGCAUCUGUGAAGGUGCUGCAUGGUUGUCGUCAGCUCGUGCCGUGAGGUGUCGGCUUAAGUGCCAUAACGAGCGCAACCCUUGUUGUCAGUUACUAACAGGUUCCGCUGAGGACUCUGACAAGACUGCCAUCGUAAGAUGUGAGGAAGGUGGGGAUGACGUCAAAUCAGCACGGCCCUUACGUCCGGGGCUACACACGUGUUACAAUGGGGGGUACAGAGGGCCGCUACCACGCGAGUGGAUGCCAAUCCCAAAAACCUCUCUCAGUUCGGACUGGAGUCUGCAACCCGACUCCACGAAGCUGGAUUCGCUAGUAAUCGCGCAUCAGCCACGGCGCGGUGAAUACGUUCCCGGGCCUUGUACACACCGCCCGUCAAGCCAUGGGAGCCGGGGGUACCUGAAGUGCGUAACCGCGAGGAGCGCCCUAGGGUAAAACUGGUGACUGGGGCUA
RNAcentral lists this ribosomal RNA (1441 nucleotides) under uncultured organism. RNAcentral describes it as "SSU rRNA". It matches the Rfam family "Bacterial small subunit ribosomal RNA". The record is from RNAcentral.